AAAGAACCCCCUCCCUCACUGGACCAGGCGGCCCUUGCUCGCAGGCCAGACCGGCCCACCUGGCCAACCGCCGGCCCAGCCCCUCCUCGGGUCGCCUUCCCCCCUGUUCCCCCGACCGGGGUCGCAACAGGGGCGAGCCCCUGUGACGCCCGGAUAAUCAAGUUACAGUAAAACUCUGCUAACGAUGCCAUGUCACCAUGAUCACUUAGUUAACCUCGGGUUAGUUCAAAAAACGAUUCAAAAUUCAAAUUCAAAUUCAAGUCAAACAACUAAAGUUUUCAAAAGUCAAAACUAAAAUGUUCUCAAUGUGACAAAUAAAUCAUGGAUAUUAUUGGUGGAGAAAUAACAUCUUUGUAAAAUAAUUAAAUACCCCAAAGUGAUUAAAACAACAGCAUAAACAAUUAAUUAUACCCCUAUUAUAUUUUACAAAAUACUAAAUUAUUUUAGCUAGGUGCCCAAGUUAUUGUGGCAGUAGUAUAUUUACAAAUACUAAGUUAGGUGCUGGUGAUAAAUUUUACAAAACUAAAAAAAUAGAUAAAUAAAAGAAAAAAAGAAAAGAAAUAAAACAACCCCCCCAAGCUGGACCGAACGGCCCAGCUGGCCGCCGCACCGGCCGGCCUACCAGGCCCAGUCGGGCCUCCUUAUCCCUCCCACCCCCGAAACCCUAACCCCCACGAUCCCCUUCCCCCCCUCUGGAUCGGGAUCGGCCCCGAUCCCGUCGACCCCGACGCCCAGCGCUCACCGCCGCCCGGGACCGCCUCGCCGGACUUUUCCCCGCCGUCCCUACGCCCCGUCACCGCCGGCGCCUCCUCGUCUCCUCCCCACGCCGGACUCCUCUGCGCCCCUUCUCUCCCUCGCACGGCUCCCGCCAGAGCCGUGGCCGUCGCCCGUCCACGCGCCGCCGUCGAUCUGGAACUGGGACUCGGCCCCGAGGCCACCGCCGCGCGGAGCUCGCCGUCGUCCGCCCCGGCCUCUCCCUCGCCGGACCGCGUCGUCCCCGCCUCUCCUUCGCCGGUCCUCCCCGCGCCUCGCCGCCUCUUCUCUUCAACGGGGGUGAGCUCCCCGUCGGGCCCCGUCCGUCUUCCCCCCUCCGUCCCAACGCCGUGGCCGCACUCGGUCCCCGCAGACCCGCGCACCAUCCCUGUGCGUGCUCACCGCCGCCGCUCCCGUCGGGCCCCCGCCUCCGCCCGUGCCCCGCCCGGCCGUGUUACCUGCCGCUGGCCCCGCCCACGACGGCUCCAGCCGCCGCUGCUCUCGUAGCUUCCCGGAGCCCCUCCGCCGUGGUUCACCGAAGCCGUUCCGUCGUGGCCGUAGGCCACGUUCGCCAACCGCCGGCGCCCCGCCUCUGGGUGUGCUCGUGCGUGAGCAGCACGUGCCACCGACACGCGGGCCCCAGCAGAUUAGAUUAGGAACUAAUCUAAUUACCCAAACUAGCUAACCUCUAAUAGACACUAACAGCAGGGCCCCACCUACUAAUUAGGAUAAAUUAAAUUAAAACAAGACCCUGUUAAAAGGUAGGAGCCAAUGACAAACGGGGCCCACGCCCCUGGGAAAAAAAGAUUUAAAAAAAAGAUAAUAAUAAAAUAAAAUAAAAUAAAAAAUAAAAUAAAAUAAAGUUAUAACAAUAAUAAUAAUAAAAUUUAGUUAAUUAACUUAAUUAAUCUGUUUAAUUAAAUAAUUAAAACUAAUUAUUCAAUUAAUAAAAACUAACUACUAUUUAGUUAACCUGAGACUAUGACGAACGGGACCCACGCGUCUGUUGACCCAGUCAACAGAUGGUUGACUGAUGACAUCAUGCUGACCUCAUGCUGACGUCAUAAUUAAUUUUCUAAUUGAAUUAAUUCUAUUAAUUCUAGAAAUAAUUUAAAUCUUUAUAAAUUAAUGUAAAAUAAUCCGUAGCUCGGAUGAAAAAACUUUGUACAUGAAAGUUGCUCAGAACGACGAGACGAAUCCGGAUACACAGUCCGUUCGUCCACCACACCUCCCUAACCUAUCGAACUCGCAACUUUCCCCCUCCGGUCCGUUUGUCCGAAAACGAGAAACACCGGGGAUACUUUCCCGGAUGUCUCCCCCCUUCACCGGUAUCACCUCAUACCGCGUUAGAACACGUCUAGCUCUGCCUGUUGUCCUGUUAUGCACUUGCUUGCUAUGUAUUUACUGUUUCUCCCCCUCUUCUCUUCGGUAGACCUCGUGACGAUGCUGAUGCCCCUGUGGUCGACUACGUCACCGAUGACCCCUCCUUCUUGUCUGAGCAACCAGGCAAGCCCCCCCCCCUUGAUCACCAGAUAUCGCCUAUUCUUCUCUAUACUGCUUGCAUUAGAGUAGUGUAGCAUGUUACUGCUUUCCGUUAAUCCUAUCCUGAUGCAUAGCCUGUCAUUGAUGCUACAGUUGUUACCUUUACCUGAAAUCCUACAUGCUUAGUAUAGGAUGCUAGUGUUCCAUCAGUGGCCCUACACUCUUGUCCGUCUGCCAUGCUAUACUACUGGGCCGUGAUCACUUCGGGAGGUGAUCACGGGUAUAUACUAUAUACUUUAUAUACAUGACACAUGUGGUGACUAAAGUCGGGUCGGCUCGAGGAGUACCCGCAAGUGAUUCUGAUGAGGGGGCUGAAAGGACAGGUGGCUCCAUCCCAGUAGAGGUGGGCCUGGGUUCCUGACGGCUCCCGACUGUUACUUGUGGCGGAGCGACAGGGCAGGUUGAGACCACCUAGGAGAGAGGUGGGCCUGGCCCUGGUCGGCGUUCGCAGAUACUUAACACGCUUAACGAGAUCUUGGUAUUUGAUCUGAGUCUGGCCAUUUGGUCUAUACGCACUAACCAUCUACGCGGGAGUAGUUAUGGGUAUCCCGAUGUCGUGGUAUCAGCCGAAGCUCUUUUGACGUCAGCGACUGAGUGGCGCGCGCCGCAUUGGACCGUAAGCUCGCGCUUGUAUUAAGGGGGCUAGGUCUGCUUCCGGCCGCGUACGCAACGUGCAGGUGUGCAUAGGGCGAUGGGCCCAGACCCCUGCGCGCAUAGGUUUAGACCGGCGUGCUGACCUCUCUGUUGAGCCUAGGUGGGGCUGCGACGUGUUGAUCUUACGAGGCCGGGCAUGACCCAGAAAAGUGUGUCCGGCCAAAUGGGAUCGAGCGUGUUGGGUUAUGUGGUGCACCCCUGCAGGGAAGUUUAUCUAUUCGAAUAGCCGUGUCCCUCGGUAAAAGGACGACCCGGAGUUGUACCUUGACCUUAUGAAAACUAGAACUGGAUACUGAAUAAAAUACACCCUUCUAAGUGCCAGAUACAACCCGGUGAUCGCUCUCUAACAGGGCGACGAGGAGGGGAUCGCCGGGUAGGAUUAUGCUAUGCGAUGCUACUUGGAGGACUUCAAUCUACCCUCUUCUAUAUGCUGCAAGAUGGAGAUGGCCAGAAGCGUAGUCUUCGACAGGACUAGCUAUCCCCCCUUAUUCUGGCAUUCUGCAGUUCAGUCCAGUGAUAUGCCCCUUUACACAUAUACCCAUGCAUAUGUAGUGUAGCUCCUUGCUUGCGAGUACUUUGGAUGAGUACUCACGGUUGCUUUUCUCCCACUUUUCCCUUUUUCUAUACCGGAUUGUCUCAAUCAGAUGCUGGAGUCCAGGAGCUAGAGAUCCCGAGGAUGAUGCUACAUGGAGUUCGGCUUCGAGGAGUAGUUAGGAGGUCCCAGGCAGGAGGCCUUGCCUUUUCGAUCGUUGCUACUUUUGUGCUAGCCUUCUUAAGGCAAACUUGUUUAACUUAUGUCUGUACUCAGAUAUUGUUGCUUCCGCUGACUCGUCUGUGAUCGAGCACUUGUAUUCGAGCCCUCGAGGCCCCUGGCUUGUAUUAUGAAGCUUGUAUGACUUAUUUUUGUUUUAGAGUUGUGUUGUGAUAUCUUCCCACGAGUCCCUGAUCUUGGUCGUACACAUUUGCGUGCAUGAUUAGUGUACGGUCAAAUCGGGGGCGUCACAAGUUGGUAUCAGAGCUAGGUUUCGAUCCUGGGACCUGUGGGUUAUGGGCCCACGUCGCCAUUGGGUGGUAUUAGGAUCUUUUACUCCUUGCCUAUACUCUGGGACUCUGAUCUCUCUUCUAUCCGGGUUAAAUGAUUUUACUAAAUCUAACAUUAGGAUCUCGUUAUCACUUUCACCCGGAGAGCCCCUUAUUUACUAAUGAUCGUCUGCUGCACGUGAAGACCCUGAAGAUACUCUCUGCUGAUAACCCGAGGACUUGUGUUCAUCGCUUUUGCAAUUCCCUUUCAUCGAUAAACUCCUAUGGAUAACCACGUAUACUCGCCAUUCAUACAAUGUUUCCCAGUUCAUCUUGUUAUUACAAGAUACCCCGAAAUUCUCUCUGUUGUUCCGAGAAUCCUUUGAGCUUACUGCCUUGCUGUUCUUUGUCACCUGAAUACCCCUACGGAUAAUUCUCGCACUUACCGAGUAUCCGGUCAUCCCAAGUUGAUUCAAGUAUUCCUCAAUAGUCUUCAAAAUACUAUUCGAUCUUUCGAAAAUCCUCAGGAGCCUAUUGCUCUUGAAAUUCUUGUUUGCUUGCAUUAUGGUUAAUCCCAUAAGUCUCGUAAUCUUAUUGGCAUCUCUUGUCAUUAUCAUUUUGAGUCCGUUGAUUCAAUUUGUUGCGAAUGCUCGCAAUCCUCAAUCAUAUCCUAGAAUUCAUUCUUCCGGCUCAGACGUCAUUUUAAACAUGAGCUGGAUCUCGACCAAUCAAAUCGUCAUCGAUUGUACCCCUAAGGCUAUUCGACUUAUCCAUCCCUAAUCAGAGCGUUGCUUCUGAUCCCUUGUCUUGGAAUUCAUAAUUCCUUUGCAUUUGAGCUUUUGAGUUAGUCAGUUGUUUCUAUAGUCUGAUCUCCUUGCAUUCUUUCUUCCUCUGGUUGAGUACUGAUGCUCACAUCAGAUCCCUUGGGGACCACCAGACCUUUUUGUCGGAUUUUAUCCGACAAUGUCCUCCAUAUUAAAUAAGCUGGUGAGCUUUUCCUCGGAUACAUGACGCCUUUGGUAAAUUGUAUCCUCUGCCUUGUGAACCAUACUCUACUUUCGAGCUUGUAUUAUUUACUCCGAAGUUCGUGGUAUAUUUUCUAAGAAACCCUGAUGGGUUGAACCUAUGCCUUCCUUAAUAUGUGUGAACUCGAAAGUUUUCACGAGUCAUACUCUCCUGGUAUUUUGCCAUAUAAAAUUUCAACACUACAACUUCAUCGAACGCGAGAAGUAAAUGAAAGGAUAUGCAUUGGAGAAGUGGGAGUCGACCUUGAACUUUGUGUUCAUGCCCAUGGACACGAUGUAGAUCUUAUCAUUAAAAGCUCCUCUUAAAUUAAUUAUUCCCUUGGUAUAAGUUCAUCUUAUAUCUGGGAUCUGGCCUUUUGCAAUCGUGGUUCCGACCAUGUUCUCCUUUAAAUACCAUUUCUUGGACAAGUUAAAUCACUUGUCUUCUGCAGGUCAAUACGCCUGCCCAACCUCUAUUAUGAUCUACCUUUGAGUAUUACCCCUGGUAUCUCGGGGAUAUCUUACCAUUGCACUACAUCUUAUAAACUUUGAUGAAGUACUACCUUACCUUGUCUUUGUCACUUCAUGGGCUCUGGGUUGUUUGUCAACCGAGAACACCGAUUAGUGAAUCAAGUCCGCACUCCGAUUCAAUAACUCUAGGUAAUUUUCGUUGCUUACGAGUUUAAUAAUCAUUAAGUCAUUCCUAGCCUGAUUGGCUAUAUCAUUAGCGUGCUAAAUUUUAACUGUGCUACCUGGUCCUUAACCCCGGAGCACAACUUUCGAUGAUGAGCUAAGCUUACGCCGAUCUUCCUCUCAUGCCAUUUCACCUUGAACAACAAGCUUGAUUUCAAGCGUGUGUCCUACCCAUGGUUCCAAUAACCGUCUGCUUCAUCAUUCCUUUGACUUGAUGUCGUCGCUGAUUUUACAUCUUCAUGAAAUCUCUCGACAAAUGUGUCGUGAUCAUCAUCAACCUUAUGCGCUCUUCCAGGAUAUCGAUUGAGUUCAUGAUGAGAAAUACCAUCCUUGCCCUCGAUGAUCUGUGUUAUCAUCGACCACUUUAUUGCCUUCCCACCAACACAAGCUUGUUCGUGUUUGGUGUUAUACCUUGAGUUCCUUGCUAUCCAGCAAUUGUUCUUCUUUACCUUGGAGUAUUACCAUCUUUUAUGUCAAGUAUGUCGUAAGAAUUUCACCACCUCGCAUGACAUCUUGGUACAGUGAUACUUCUCCCCAUCACCAUUCUUUCUUGGUCCCCGUGUUGUUUCUAAAAGGAAUACCAACAAAUGGGCUGUGAUGUGUAAAUUCUAAACUUCUAGCAACCCUAUUGCUUUGAAGUCAUUGGUCUAUAGUUUCAUUCCACGUCUAUGGCUUAAUGAAUCAUCAUUCGAACAUUGAUUGUGCUACCUAGCCCAUAUUUCGGGUGCACAUUUCAACCAAUGUUUAACUGUGUAUGUUUUCCUCGAGCAUACAUCAUUAAGUCAUUCGAUCUAGCUAAUGUUAUCUCCUUGUUCACAUAGUGGUGGAAAUCCAUCUUUUGGAAAUCUCAAUGGAUUGUCGCUGGGUCAAGCAGUCACCUCCUCACCUCUCCUUGAUGUAAUGAUGAACCCUUGUCCGGAACUCGCUUCCAUAGUUCAUCUCCCGAGAAUCUCCGGUGUCGUUUCGACAAUUUGUGUUGCACCUUUCUUCUCAGGCAUCCUGAGUCUGAGUUAUCCUGACACCAAUCAGAUCUGAAUCUCGGUCAGAUGUGAUGGUUGGAACAUAUUUCCAAGAGUUAUAACAUUGGCCUAUUUAAGAUCCGGUAAGGUGAUGCCAUGCUUAACACACCUGUCCGGGGAACCUAUUGUUAUAGUUUCCUUUUUAGCAAGGUUAGCCAUUCUUCCAUGAGGAAAUUGUAAGACUUAUUCUAUCAGUUGUUCCUGAUGGAUCCUUUUUGUUUCCAAAUUAUGAUCUUCACCUGUUGACCAUGUCAAUGCUAUCACAAAGCAUGCCUAUGGUACUCCGAUAUUCAACGGGAACAUUCAAGCACAAUGCUAAAUGUUUCCUGCACAAUUAUCCAAACACCGCUGUAUGGGUAAUGUCAUGAAAAUUCUCUCCCAUACCUAAAGAGUUUUCUACAUUAUAUCAUGUCAUGGAUAUCAUGCUCUGCUUGUCCUUGGGAAGGAUAUACCCUUGAAAUAUGUGUUUACACACAUUUUCCUUUCCAUUCUUCUGUUUAAUCUGAUAAACAUAUUUUCCUUUUCAUUGUUUGGUUUAACCUUUCUGAUGAUCUAUAUGAUCUAAGCAGCAAUAUUCUCCUGCUUAUGUAAACACCUCGGUGUACAACUCUGUCAGUAAGACCCUGUUACUAUUGUUAGUGACAUUUCGGUAACCACCGAUGGACGAGAACUUUGCCUAAUGGUCCGCCUCGUUUCAACGAGCAGGAAAAUGGUUCUCUUCGUCCCUUGCCCUUGGUACCGACGAUGUUGCUGACAUUUAAUCGACAGGCUACCCUCUGACAUGUCUUACUAACAUGACCAUGCAAGAUGUCACCGUUCCUCCUACUUUUAAUCCACAUGGUGGGCCCAUAACCCACAGUUCCACAGGAUCGAAACCUGACUCUCCUGUGCACCCCCUGUUCCCAAAUUUAUUCAUCACGCGUGGCCUCGUAUGUAAUUCACGGACCAUCGUCCUACUGAUCUAUACUGGCAUCAGACAUAAUACUUAUUCCGAUUGCUUUGAACCCAUUUCACACUUUGUUUCAGGCUUCGAACGAUUGCCUACCCGUUGAAACUUCUCAUGGUACUUUCUUACUUGCUCUCGGCUUUUCUUUAGGUUUAGUUCGAGAGAUACUUUCCGCCACCUUCCCCGAUGAUAUUGACCAGAUAGUAAACCCUGCAGAAGUCCGUUCCUCCAGAAUACCCCCUUACUCUGUCGUAAGUACGAUGGAGUUCCCGAGGAAAGGACGACAACUUUAUCAUGAUGAUCUGAAACAGCAGAAUGAAGACAUCAAAGUAUUGGAUCAGCCUCUUCGAGAAGAGCAAGCCAGGAUGAGAAGACCCGCUAGAUUCGUUACCAAACCUUCCCCCCUUACUCCCCUCUUAAAUCUCGGGACGAGAUUUCUUGUAGUGUAGGAGAAUUGUGACGCCCGGAUAAUCAAGUUACAGUAAAACUCUGCUAACGAUGCCACGUCACCAUGAUCACUUAGUUAACCUCGGGUUAGUUCAAAAAACGAUUCAAAAUUCAAAUUCAAAUUCAAGUCAAACAACUAAAGUUUUCAAAAGUCAAAACUAAAAUGUUCUCAAUGUGACAAAUAAAUCAUGGAUAUUAUUGGUGGAGAAAUAACAUCUUUGUAAAAUAAUUAAAUACCCCAAAGUGAUUAAAACAACAGCAUAAACAAUUAAUUAUACCCCUAUUAUAUUUUACAAAAUACUAAAUUAUUUUAGCUAGGUGCCCAAGUUAUUGUGGCAGUAGUAUAUUUACAAAUACUAAGUUAGGUGCUGGUGAUAAAUUUUACAAAAC
Molecule: long non-coding RNA, 8468 nt
Filed under: Triticum aestivum (bread wheat)
Lineage: Eukaryota; Viridiplantae; Streptophyta; Magnoliopsida; Poales; Poaceae
Description: long non-coding RNA (TAES_LNC000394)
Source: RNAcentral